GGUUCCAUAGUGUAGUGGUUAGCACAUCUACUUUACAUGCAGAAGUCCUAAGUUCACAACCCAGUGGAGCCA
Molecule: transfer RNA, 72 nt
Filed under: Pteropus alecto (black flying fox)
Lineage: Eukaryota; Metazoa; Chordata; Mammalia; Chiroptera; Pteropodidae
Rfam family: tRNA
About the family: Transfer RNA (tRNA) molecules are approximately 80 nucleotides in length. Their secondary structure includes four short double-helical elements and three loops (D, anti-codon, and T loops). Further hydrogen bonds mediate the characteristic L-shaped molecular structure. tRNAs have two regions of fundamental functional importance: the anti-codon, which is responsible for specific mRNA codon recognition, and the 3' end, to which the tRNAs corresponding amino acid is attached (by aminoacyl-tRNA synthetases). tRNAs cope with the degeneracy of the genetic code in two manners: having more than one tRNA (with a specific anti-codon) for a particular amino acid; and 'wobble' base-pairing, i.e. permitting non-standard base-pairing at the 3rd anti-codon position.
Source: Rfam by way of RNAcentral